GAUGAACGCUGGCGGCGUGCCUAAUACAUGCAAGUCGAGCGAACAGACGAGGAGCUUGCUCCUCUGAUGUUAGCGGCGGACGGGUGAGUAACACGUGGAUAACCUACCUAUAAGACUGGGAUAACUUCGGGAAACCGGAGCUAAUACCGGAUAACAUGUUGAACCGCAUGGUUCAACAGUGAAAGACGGUCUUGCUGUCACUUAUAGAUGGAUCCGCGCCGCAUUAGCUAGUUGGUAAGGUAACGGCUUACCAAGGCAACGAUGCGUAGCCGACCUGAGAGGGUGAUCGGCCACACUGGAACUGAGACACGGUCCAGACUCCUACGGGAGGCAGCAGAAGGGAAUCUUCCGCAAUGGGCGAAAGCCUGACGGAGCAACGCCGCGUGAGUGAAGAAGGUCUUCGGAUCGUAAAACUCUGUUAUUAGGGAAGAACAAAUGUGUAAGUAACUAUGCACGUCUUGACGGUACCUAAUCAGAAAGCCACGGCUAACUACGUG
Molecule: ribosomal RNA, 497 nt
Filed under: uncultured bacterium
Lineage: Bacteria
Description: partial 16S ribosomal RNA
Rfam family: Bacterial small subunit ribosomal RNA
Source: RNAcentral